RNAcentral lists this ribosomal RNA (400 nucleotides) under uncultured bacterium. RNAcentral describes it as "bacterial SSU rRNA". It matches the Rfam family "Bacterial small subunit ribosomal RNA", at positions 118 to 514 of the family's 1533-position model. The record is from RNAcentral.
UCGGAAUCUGCCCAAUGGUGGGGAAUAACCAGCCGAAAGGUUGGCUAAUACCGCAUACGUCCUACGGGAGAAAGCAGGGGAUCGCAAGACCUUGCGCCAAUGGAUGAGCCGAAGUCGGAUUAGCUUGUUGGUAGGGUAACGGCCUACCAAGGCGACGAUCCGUAGCUGGUCUGAGAGGACGACCAGCCACACUGGGACUGAGACACGGCCCAGACUCCUACGGGAGGCAGCAGUGGGGAAUAUUGGACAAUGGGGGAAACCCUGAUCCAGCGACGCCGCGUGUGUGAAGAAGGCCUGCGGGUUGUAAAGCACUUUUAGUGGGGAUGAAAAGCACGGGGCUAACACCUCCGUGUCUUGACCUAACCCACAGAAAAAGCACCGGCUAACUCUGUGCCAGCAC